GACGAACGCUGGCGGCGUGCUUAACACAUGCAAGUCGAACGGAAAGGCCUCUUUCGGGGGGUACUCGAGUGGCGAACGGGUGAGUAACACGUGAGUAACCUGCCCUUGACUUUGGGAUAACUUCAGGAAACUGGGGCUAAUACCGGAUAGGAGCUCCUGCUGCAUGGUGGGGGUUGGAAAGUUUCGGCGGUUGGGGAUGGACUCGCGGCUUAUCAGCUUGUUGGUGGGGUAGUGGCUUACCAAGGCUUUGACGGGUAGCCGGCCUGGGAGGGUGACCGGCCACAUUGGGACUGAGGUACGGCCCAGACUCCUACGGGAGGCAGCAGUGGGGAAUAUUGCACAAUGGGUGGAAGCCUGAUGCAGCAACGCCGUGUGCGGGAUGACGGCCUUCGGGUUGUAAACCGCUUUCGCUCAUGACGAAGCUUUGUGUGACGGUAGUGGGUAAAGAAGCACCGGCUAACUACGUG
RNAcentral lists this ribosomal RNA (467 nucleotides) under uncultured bacterium. RNAcentral describes it as "partial 16S ribosomal RNA". It matches the Rfam family "Bacterial small subunit ribosomal RNA", at positions 28 to 507 of the family's 1533-position model. The record is from RNAcentral.